AGAGCUGGUCGGGCAACUACGCUUUCAAGCCUUGUUGCAAAAGGUUUGGAGUGAGGAAAGUCCGGGCUCCACAGGACGCCGCACAGGUUAACGACCUGGCAUCGCGAGAUGACGGAAAGUGCAACAGAAAGUAUGUACGGUCCGCCGUAGCUUUAGCGAAGGCGGAUGCUGUAGUGAAAUCCGGUAAACCCUGCGGGGAGCAAGAUCAAGUAAACCGUACCCCUAAAACCCAUUGGUCCGAUGGGGUUCCUGAAAAGGACGGUACGGAGGGUUGAUCGCUAGAGGCGUUUGGUAACAAACGUCCCAGAGGAAUGGUUGCCGAAGACAGAACCCGGCUUAUAGACCAGCUCUUAUU
Molecule: RNase P RNA, 355 nt
Filed under: Deltaproteobacteria bacterium
Lineage: Bacteria; Pseudomonadati; Myxococcota; Myxococcia
Description: RNase P RNA component class A
Rfam family: Bacterial RNase P class A
About the family: Ribonuclease P (RNase P) is a ubiquitous endoribonuclease, found in archaea, bacteria and eukarya as well as chloroplasts and mitochondria.
Source: RNAcentral